Molecule: long non-coding RNA, 3565 nt
Filed under: Capsella rubella
Lineage: Eukaryota; Viridiplantae; Streptophyta; Magnoliopsida; Brassicales; Brassicaceae
Description: long non-coding RNA (CRUB_LNC005199)
Source: RNAcentral
UUGUGACCCCAAAUCAGAUUCUUCCUUUCUGUCGUUGGCAAAGUAUCAGAAGAUACAAAGUGGAGAACUGAAUCCACAUAUGUUGGUUGGUAAGUUUCUAUUUAUAUGUCACUACUUUUAUAUAGUCUCUUAGUUAAACAUUAACAAACGAUGUUUAACCCACAAGUUUACCUCUUCCAUGAUGCAGAUGUAAUUGGCCAGAUAAUAACUAUUGGAGAACUUGAGAACCUCGAGGCUAACAACAAACCAACCUGCAAAAUCGAUUUCGAAAUAAGAGACGAAAAGUGAGCAUUAUUUAUAUAUUUACAUACUCUUUAUAUUCUAACAAUAUAUUAUUAUGCUCCGACUUUGUAUCUUCAAAGUUUGCAUUAUUAUUGAUGAUAACAGUGAUGAAAGGAUGGCGUGUACUUUGUGGGGAACCUUAGCUGAGCAGGUACAUAGAGCUUGCGAAAAUUCAGAUGGAAGCAAUGUCAUAGUCAUCCUCAGAUUUAUGAAAAUUAAAGCUUACAAGGGUAACUUGAUGUUUAACCUAAAUACUACUCACAAGAUCGGCUACUCUUUAUGCUAUAACGUUUACAUAACCAAUUAAUAUUGUAGGUGUUAGGAGUGUAACAAAUUCCUAUGAUACUUCACAAGUGUUUGUCAACUCCCCCUUCCCUGAAGUCGACUCAUUCAGAGAAUCGUAUACUUUCUAAACUUAUCUACUAUAUUUAUCAUCCCCUUAUAACUCUGCAAUUUACAAUGUUUAACCGCAAAAAAUUAACCAUACUAACUUAACAUCAAUUAGGCUGCCUACAGAUGGUUUGGUAUUGGUCCCCCGAGAAAGGCGUCCAAGAAUGGAGUUGGUUGUGGUAAACAAUGAGGAUUACCAAGAUGUCCCCAGGAGAACUAUUGAGGAAAUCAAGAAUUCCCUAGAGGUAAAAUAAUAUUAACUUUAACUCUUUCUGUAAUAGUUCGUAUAUAUUUGAUAACUUCAUUAAUUCACAGGUUGGCAGGGCUAGACUACUCUGUACAAUCUAUGGAAUUGAUACAGACUGGGCUUGGUACUACAUAAGUUGUAGGUCAUGCAAUAAGAAAGUUAACCACAUCCAUUCUGGUGUACAUGGAGUUAAUAACAAAGGCGUCAAACCAAGAUUCUGGUGUGAUACCUGCAAGAGUGUUGUUACAAAUGUCGUAGCACGGUAUAUUUGUCUAUAUGUCUACUAUUAUUAACAUAUCAUACUAGAUUUUUAGGGACAUGUUUAUUCCAGAACAAAAUUUUAAUUCAAUAAUCUACAUGUUUAUGUGCUAGGUUUAUGCUUUAUGCUAAUGUCAUGGACACCACUGGGGAGCUGAAAUUGUUAUUGUUUGACUCUAUUUGCACGGAGAUAAUAGGGCAGUCUGCUCCAUCUGUUCUUGACGGCUCUGUUGAUGAGGUUAACUACUACCAGCUAUAUUACGCUAAAAGUCAUAGAUACGUGGUAUUAUCUCUAAUGUGUUACAAAUCAAUUCUGAUAUUUUUAAUGUUCAGAUUGAGGAUCCAGACAAUUUGCCAGAUCCCCUUAAAAAUCUUAUUGGGAAAACUUUUCUGUUUCUGGUGUGUAUCGAGAGGGCAAAUAUAUGGGAUGGGAAAGAUAUCUACAGGGUUUCUAAGGCUCUGUUGAAGCAUGGUGUACUACCAGAAGAGUUAUUGGAGUAUUCUACAGAAAUGUCCAGAGAAACUUCCAUUGAAUCUGCAGACAAGGUUAUAUUCAUAUAACUAUUCACUACAACAACUAUAUCUUCAAUGUUAAUUUAUUAAAAUAACCAAUGUUUAGUUAUACAUUCUAUUUAUACUAAUUAUGAAAUUCGUAGGGCAUUCUCAUGUUGGAAAAUACUCAAGGAACACCAGAUUCUAUGACUCCUUCUUCUAAGCGUGUUUAUGGUUCUAAGGACGGACCUGUGGACCAAGCAUCUACUUCUAAGAAGUCGUGUAUUGAACCAAUAGACUUGGAAAAGGUAAAUCCUGAUUUUAAAAAUGAAGCAGAACUGAACAAGAGCAGUGUUGAAUCAAAGACUGAAGGUGUGAUUGAGACAAAAGCGGACCUUGGUAAAAAUGUGGGCGAAACAAUCGGAACCACUAUUGACAAAGCAGACAAUGCUGGACCAAGAGCUAUGGUUGGAGUGAAGGUCAAGAUUGAGAAGAAGUAAGGGUCCUGCAGUCACUAUUGUAUGCUUCAAAUAAAGCCUUCCUUGGUUAUUUCAAUCUGUUUUUUAAACUUUCAAACUCAUUUUCAUUUCCUUUGUUUGAAUAAGUGUAGUUUAGCUACACUCCUAUUUUAUGUUCAAGUUUAUUAAUAAAGUUUCCAUAUUCUUAUUUUCUGUUGACUUCAAUAAUAUAUUACUAGAGAUGUAUUAAGCUUCUAAGCACUUCUUAUAUUUUGAAAGUGGUUAACGUGUCUAAAUGUAUAAUCACCCAAAAAAAGAUAUUUAAACAUUAAAGGAAACCAUGAUUUUUACCUUUUUACUCGAUGUCUAUAGCCUAUAUCUUCAUUGUAAUCCUUCUUCUUCGAAUCUGAAAUUUAAAGAGAAAAAUACUAAAUUACAUAUGCAACAUUAAUUUAAAUCAGCUCACUCUAGGUACGUGUUUUCUGCUUCUUUCCUCAUAUUUUAAAAAAUGCAGAACUUAUGGAUUUCAUGAUUUUAAAAGGCACAAAGUAGUAAGCAUGUAAUUUGACAAACAGAUUCCAUAUUAACUUUGCCAAACAGACAAUACCUUCAAACACUAGCAUCGUAUGCUGCUAGACACAACCACCACAUAACAACAUUCCUGCAUACUAAUUGAAAGCAAAAUCCCGUAAGCAUUUAUAUAAGAUAUAUUAUUUUGAUUUGUAUUGCCUGAGAAUCCCUUAAAACCAGCACUUUGUUAUAUAAUUAUAUGGAUAUUUUAAAGAAAACAAAGAAGAAUAUUGUCUCUGCUAUCUAAAAUCAAGGAGAAAUUAACUACUGCAAAUCUAUAGUCAUUACGACCUGCUACUAAAAUAACAUGUUCUAGAGAGCAACUUUCUGACCACCUCAACGAUGAAGGAAAAUAAGAAAAACAAUAAACCAAGUGAUGAGUCUCAGCACAAAUCUGCUAAAAGAACGAGACUUACACAACCUCCAACUAAUCAUACUCAACCAACAACAUCUACAUUGGCUACACCUACUGGUUCUGUCACACUUAAAAAUGCUUUGAAUAGAGUUCUUUGCGAUAUUACCAACCUAAGUGGGAGCAACAAUCGGCUGGAUGUCACACAAUCCUCUAUUCACCAUCCAUCUCCUGCAACACACAUCACACUAGGUUAUUGUUUUUUACAAUUUCACCUGACUUUUUCCUGUUCUCAUGUUAGUAUUGAUUAGUAUAUGAAACGCUUAUUUCAAACUGAAAACAAUCUUUUACUUCCCAGUUUCAGGCUCAAACUUAUCCACGUCUUCAUUCGACAAUCAUGGUAGCUUAAAUACCAACAAUUUUGUCACUCCUGUGCUUCAAAACAUAACCAAUAUAGAACACCAAGCUACUCCCGUUGAUACCAUAGCUACACUGUCUGCCAAAUACAACACACCU